UACGAAGGGGGCUAGCGUUGCUCGGAAUCACUGGGCGUAAAGGGUGCGUAGGCGGGUCUUUAAGUCAGGGGUGAAAUCCUGGAGCUCAACUCCAGAACUGCCUUCGAUACUGGGAGUCUCGAGUUCGGGAGAGGUGAGUGGAACUGCGAGUGUAGAGGUGAAAUUCGUAGAUAUUCGCAAGAACACCAGUGGCGAAGGCGGCUCACUGGCCCGAUACUGACGCUGAGGUGCGAAAGCGUGGGGAGCAAACAGG
This 253-nucleotide ribosomal RNA is filed under the name uncultured bacterium. RNAcentral describes it as "partial 16S ribosomal RNA". It matches the Rfam family "Bacterial small subunit ribosomal RNA", at positions 524 to 776 of the family's 1533-position model. The record is from RNAcentral.